GACGAACGCUGGCGGCGUGCUUAAUACAUGCAAGUCGAGCGGUAAUCUCACCUUCGGGUGAGAUUAUAGCGGCGGACGGGUGAGUAACGCGUGGGCAAUCUGCCCUCUAGCCUGGGAUAACAGUUCGAAAGGACUGCUAACACCGGAUAAUGUUGGUUCGUGGCAUCAUGAACCAAUUAAAGUUUACACUAGAGGAUGAGCCCGCGUCCCAUUAGCUAGUUGGUGAGGUAAUGGCCCACCAAGGCGACGAUGGGUAGCCGACCUGAGAGGGUGAACGGCCACACUGGGACUGAGACACGGCCCAGACUCCUACGGGUGGCAG
This 322-nucleotide ribosomal RNA is filed under the name uncultured Bacillota bacterium. RNAcentral describes it as "bacterial SSU rRNA". It matches the Rfam family "Bacterial small subunit ribosomal RNA", at positions 28 to 351 of the family's 1533-position model. The record is from RNAcentral. Lineage: Bacteria; Bacillati; Bacillota.